UCGGCGGUGGCUGCUGUGGCCUCCGACGCCACGGCGGUGCCGUUGUUAGGAUUUCCGGCGGAGGCGGCGCCGCCACCGCAGCCGUUAUUCUGAUUGCCGGAAGGAUCCGCGCUCGCGGCCAUCCGUCGGUCACCGGCUAAACUGCGGUGUCGUCGCCGACAACGAGGCGAAAGAGGUGGGCGGUGGGCUGAUUUUAAGGCGGUGGGAGAGGG
This 212-nucleotide unclassified non-coding RNA is filed under the name Hevea brasiliensis (rubber tree). Lineage: Eukaryota; Viridiplantae; Streptophyta; Magnoliopsida; Malpighiales; Euphorbiaceae. The record is from RNAcentral.